This 322-nucleotide long non-coding RNA is filed under the name Rosa chinensis. Its description in RNAcentral is "sRNA RchiOBHm_Chr4g0427431". Lineage: Eukaryota; Viridiplantae; Streptophyta; Magnoliopsida; Rosales; Rosaceae. The record is from RNAcentral.
GCGGACGUCCGCACUUGGCUAAAGUGCGGACGGCGACGCAACGGCGGCGUUCCAGGCUGUGACGGCGGCUCGGGGCUUGGCGGACGGAGGCCGGAGGCUUGGUGGACGGUUCUGGGCAGCGUUCGAGGUUGGAGGAGGUCGGAGUUGCAGGUUUCUGGCCAAGGCUGCAACCACGUCGCCGGCGACUCCAUCGACUGCAGACCCGUCCGUCUGACCCGUGGCGUCCGUCCGGCAAGCUCCGCCGCUCCGUCGCACCCCGAGCCGAGCUGCAGCAGCGCCGUCCGCACUUUAACGAAAGUGCGUACGUCCUCUUUCGAACGCG